Betta splendens (Siamese fighting fish) is the source of this 4722-nucleotide long non-coding RNA. RefSeq lists it as uncharacterized. The record is from RefSeq and is a predicted model, not a curated record. NCBI's taxonomy places the organism in Eukaryota, Metazoa, Chordata, Actinopteri, Anabantiformes, Osphronemidae. The transcript has 4 exons.
GCAUUUUGUAACUGAAGUAAUUUCAGCCAUCACUGUCGAUUUAAAGCAAAACGCUAGAUAGACAGACGUGCGCUGUAUGCUUUAUUUUGGAGGCAGAUAUGGUUAACUCGUUUGCCCAUGCACCUAAACCGGAAGUCAUAGUGCUUCGUAAAGGUCGGCCGUUGUUUUGCCUGUAAAGGGCACAGUGAAGCAAGUCACAUCUUUGCAUCAGUCACGUCUGGCAGUAGCUCUAAAACGGAUGGAACAAGGACUCUGUCAUAGACGACAUGGCUGGACAAGCAUCCUUCCACAGUCAUGGUUGUCUGCCUGCAUGAGGGAGGGUGGACCCUGGCUCCUCACAAGGAUAAGCAGCUUUUUUUUUUUUUCUUGUUCACAGUCAUCAUGUGUUCUGUGUUUACAUUCUUACACAAACGACUAAUCUCUUCUAUCUUGUCAUACAUCAAGUUUAGACAUCUAAUGUUCUGUUUGACUGAUUAAUGGUUUAUAAGUCGUCUCUGUCUUUUACACCCUGGACCCUGGCUCGCCCAUCUGAUUCCUCACCAGACCCAAGGUCGUAAAACCGAGUGCAUUUUGUCUUUGAAGCUUACAGUAGUGUUCCUUCCUCUCCGACAACAAGACGCCGAUGAUGCAGGUGUGAGAAUGCAAACAUUCACACACAGCAACAGGGAUGAAGCGGUACAAACCAUUUGAUUGGACCAAGGAGACAUUCCACAUGGUCAGAGAAGGGGACAAAAGGGAAAUUUCCACCAGGGCACCCAGACCUGAUUGCUGCCAUACCUGCUUGCAAUCAAUAAAUCACUUAAAUAGGACAUGCCUGACAAAGUGAAGUAGACCAAAAGAUCCUCAAAAGCUAGACAUCAUGCUGAGAUCCAAAGACAUUCAAAAACAAAUGAGAUGAGAUUUAUCAAUCUGGAAAAUGUUAUAAAGCCAUUUCUAAAGCUUUGGGACUGCAGCGUACCACACUGAGAGCCAUUAUCAACAAAUGGAAAAAACAUAGAGCUGUGGAGAACCUUUCCAGGAGUGGCCAGUCUAUGUGGUGGAAAUUUCCCAUAAAGAGGCAGAUGAGAGAGUUGUUUUUGGUGUGAUUUAUUAUAAAAAAAGGGGAGAAACGGAAAAUAAAAAUCUCUGCAUGUUCUCUACAGCCGCCACCCACUCUUAGUCUUAGUUAUCGCAUAGAGACUGUGUCUGCUUCUCGACCACCUAAACUAUACAAGUCACACACAAAUCAAAGAGGAGUGACUUACCAGAAUUGAAUAAACAUCAAAACAGUUCCGCUUACAGAACAAAGUAACAGUAAGUUAAUAAAGUGUGGUUUAUUAAAUAUCAGAUCUCUCUCAUCUAAAUCAUUAUUAAUAAAUGACUUCAUAAGUGACCAUCACAUGGAUCUGUUCUGUCUCACUGACACCUGGCUGCAGCAGGAUGAAUAUGUUACUUUAAAUGAGUCGACUCCAAUGAGCCACAUUAACUAUCAUGUUCCAAAAAGUACAGGUAGAGGUGGAGGUGUAGCAGCAAUUUAUAAAUCAGAUUUAUUAAUGACUCUUAAACCUAAACAUACAGUAGUUCUAACUCAUUUGAGAGCCUCACUCUGAGCCUUUCUCACCCAGCACCCUUAGCACAGAUAAAGUCAUUGUAGUGGGAGACUUUAACAUUCAUGUAGAUGUUGACAGCAACUGUCUCAGCACUGCUUUUAACUCCUUAAUAGACACCAUUGGUUUACUCAGCAGGUAAAUGAACCCACUCAUCGUUUUAAUCAUACCCUUGAUCUUGUCCUGACAUAUGGGGUUGAAAUUGAUAAUUUAAUAGUUCUUCCCCAAAACCCUCUGUUAUCUGACCAUUUCUUAUUAACUUUUGAAUUUAGCAUAAUUGACCUUACAAUAGCUGGAAAGAAAUGUUACUAUAGCAGAUGUUUAUCUGACAACGCUGUUGCCAGAUUCAAGCAGAUGAUUCCAUCAUCUUUUGCCUCAAUGUCUUGUAGAUACACAGAGAACAGUCACCUUAAUCCUUAUGAACAGGUUGACUGUCUUGUAGAUGAUGCUGCAGCCUCUCUACGUACAAUGUUAGACACAGUGGCUCCUCUGAAGAAAAAGGCAGUGAAUCAGAGGAGGUUAACUCCGUGGUAUAACUCAGAGAUCCACAGCCUAAAGCACAGGACUAGACAACUAGAAAGACAGUGGCGUUCCAACAAAAUAAAUGUAAACUGCAUUGCAUGGAAGGACAGUCUAAUAAAAUAUAAAAAAGCACUUUGUGCUGCUAGAAAAACAUAUUAUUCCUCCCUAAUUGAGGAAAACAAAAACAACCCCAGGUUUCUUUUCAGCACUGUAGCCAGGCUGACAAAGAGUCAUAGCUGUGUUGAGUCUACUAUGCCCUUAAAUCUCAGCAGCAAUGACUUUAUGAACUACUUUACUAAUAAAAUUAUCAUCAUUAGAAAAAACAUUCAGCAGCGACUUCUUCCAAACGACAGAAAGCACUGUCUAGAUCCAUCAACUUUAAAUAUACCAAAUCCUCUGUCUUACCUAGACAGCUUCUUCCCCAUAACUCAUAUGGAGUUAACCUCAAUAAUCAACUCUUCCAAGUCGUCCACUUGUCUUUUAGAUCCAAUCCCAACCAGAUUACUCAUAAAUUCUACCUUUAAUCAGCUCGUCCAUAUUAAAUCAAAUCAACCAAUCUUUACAUUUAGGCUAUGUACCACAGGCUUUUAAGGUGGCUGUGGUCAAACCUCUAUUGAAAAAACAAACCCUGGACCCUGGUGAACUAGCCGACUAUAGGCCCAUUUCAAAUUUACCCUUUAUUUCCAAGAUUCUUGAAAAAAUCGUGGCUAAACAAUUAUCUGAUCACCUGAGUGGGAAUAACCUGUACGAAGAUUUUCAGUCAGGAUUUAAAAAAAAACAUCACAGCACAGAAACAGCUCGGUUAGAGUCACUAAUGAUCUUCUAUUAGCUUCGGACAAUGGUCUAGUUUCUGUCCUUGUCCUGUUAGAUCUUAGUGCUGCAUUUGAUACAAUUGAUCAUAAAAUUCUAUUACACACACUAGAACAUACAUGUAGAAUUGGGAUUAAAGGAACAGCAUUGGGAUGGUUUAACUUCUAUUUGUUGAACAGAUUCCAGGUUGUUCAUGUUAAUGAGGAAUUCUCCACAUGCACAAGGAUUACCUAUGGAGUACCACAGGGUUCUGUGCUGGGUCCAAUUCUGUUUAGCCUAUACAUGUCUCCUCUAGGUGAGAUUAUUAGGAAGCAUUCUACUAAUUUUCAUUGUUACGCAGAUGAUACUCAGCUAUAUAUGUCCUUGGAACCAAAUGAAACAGAUCAACUAGUCAAAAUUCAGGGUUGUUUAAAAUACAUCAAAUCCUGGAUGUCCCAAAACUUCCUUCAACUAACUCAGAUAAAACAGAAAUUCUUAUUGUUGGGCCUAAAAAUCUGAGAGAGACACUAUUGAGUCAGAUAGCCACCCUGGAUGGCAUAAAAUUUUUGACCAGGAUCUCUCUUUUACAUCAUACAUUAAACAAAUCUCCAGAACCGCCUACUUCCAUCUUAGAAAUAUAGCUAAAAUCAGAAGCAUCCUCUCUCAGAGCGAUGCAGAAAAACUGAUUCGUGCAUUUGUUACCUCUAGACUGGACUACUGUAACUGCUUACUCAUAGGAUGUCCUAACAGCUCCUUAAAAAGGCCACAGCUUAUUCAAAAUGCUGCUGCCAGAGUCUUGACAGGACUUACAAAGAGAGAUCACAUUUCUCCUACAUUAGCUUCUCUGCACUGGCUGCCUGUAAAAUGUAGGAUAGAAUUUAAAAUUCUCCUACUCACCUACAAAGUACUCAAUGAUAAAGCUCCUUCUUAUCUUAAAGACCUUAUAGUUCCUUAUGCUCCCAGCAGAACACUUCGUUCUCAGAGCGCUGGGCUACUUGCGGUUCCUAGAGUGUUUAAAUGUAGAACGGGGGGCAGAGCUUUUGCUACCAAGCUCCUCUCCUCUGGAACCAGCUCCCUCUUCAGGUUGGAGAAGCUGACACACUCUCCACCUUUAAGAUUAGGCUUAAAAUCUUCCUUUUUGAUAAAGCUUAUAGUUAGAGAUAGUUCAGGUCACUGGCAAUUAUUGUUAGUCACAGGAACCAUCGCUUAGUUAAGCUGCAAUAGACAUAGACUGCUGGGGGACUUAAUUUAUACACUGAGCUCCUCUGUUUCCUUCUACCUCUUCUGUCCAAUAACCUCCCAUCGUUGUUCUAUGUUCACCUAACCUCGUCUCUUUCUCUCCAGUAGUUGUGCUUCUCUCUCUCUCUCUCUCUCUCUCCCUUUCUCUCUCUCUCUCUCUCUCUCUCUUUCUCUCUCCUCUACUCUGUCCUCACCUACAGGUAUCAUUGGACUCAAAGUUUGGUGUCUGUGAUGGGCAGCUGUGGAUCCAACCAUCCUGCCUGUAUCCAGUCCCUGGUCCAACCAUCCUGCCUGUGCUCUGUUGUUGCUUGUUGUUGUUGCUGUGCUUUUCUCUCUCUCUAUCCUCUCACCCCAACCGGUCGAGGCAGAUGGCCGCCCACAUCCAGCCUGGUUCUGCUGGAGGUUUCUUCCUCGUUAGAGAGGGAGUUUUUCCUCUCCACUGUUGCUGUCAAAUUAAAUGCUUGCUGUACUGUAUGUGGGAUUUGUUGGGUUUAGUUGUGUAAGGUCUUAAACCUUACUUUGUAAAGUGCCUUGAGAUAACUUUCUUGUGAUUUGGCGCUAUAUAAAUAAAAUGAAUUUAAUUGCA